RNAcentral lists this ribosomal RNA (500 nucleotides) under uncultured bacterium. Its description in RNAcentral is "partial 16S ribosomal RNA". It matches the Rfam family "Bacterial small subunit ribosomal RNA", at positions 30 to 523 of the family's 1533-position model. The record is from RNAcentral.
AUUGAACGCUGGCGGCAGGCCUAACACAUGCAAGUCGAGCGGAUGACGGGAGCUUGCUCCUUGAUUCAGCGGCGGACGGGUGAGUAAUGCCUAGGAAUCUGCCUGGUAGUGGGGGACAACGUUUCGAAAGGAACGCUAAUACCGCAUACGUCCUACGGGAGAAAGCAGGGGACCUUCGGGCCUUGCGCUAUCAGAUGAGCCUAGGUCGGAUUAGCUAGUUGGUGGGGUAAUGGCUCACCAAGGCGACGAGCCGUAACUGGUCUGAGAGGAUGAUCAGUCACACUGGCACGGAGACACGGUCCAGACUCCUACGGGAGGCAGCAGUGGGGAAUAUUGGACAAUGGGCGAAAGCCUGAUCCAGCCAUGCCGCGUGGGUGAAGAAGGUCUUCGGAUUGUAAAGCACUUUAAGUUGGGAGGAAGGGCAGUAAGCUAAUACCUUGCUGUUUUGACGGUACCGACAGAAUAAGCACCGGCUAACUCUGUGCCAGCCGCCGCUGUAA